Molecule: ribosomal RNA, 644 nt
Filed under: uncultured fungus
Lineage: Eukaryota; Fungi
Description: eukaryotic LSU rRNA
Rfam family: 5.8S ribosomal RNA (bases 222-388)
Source: RNAcentral
UAGGUGAACCUACGGAAGGAUCAUUAACGAACGCUCGAGCGAGGUUGUAGCUGCGUCCCUUCUGGGGCGACGUGCACGCCUCGUCUCUGUCUUCAUCUCUCUCUCACCCACCCCCUGUGCACCUCCGCGUGGGCUCCCGGGCCCACGUCCUUCAUCACGAAUGAACCCAUCGCAUGUGUCGGAACGUCUCGUUUGCUGUAGAAGCAAAAAAAAAAUUGUACAACUUUCAACAACGGAUCUCUUGGCUCUCGCCAUCGAAUGAAAGAAACGCAGCGAAAAUGCGAAUAAGUAAUGUGAAUUGCAGAAAUUCAGUGAAUCAUCGAAAUCUUUGAAACGCCACCUUGCCGCCCUCUUGGUAUUCCGAGGGGCACGCCCUGUUUGAGUUAUCGUGAAAUCCUCAACCCGAAUUCCUUUUCGUCGAAGAAAAGGGGAACGAAGGGCUUGGACUUUGGAGGUCUUGCCGGUCCCCCCCGAAUCGGCUCCUCUCGAAACGCAUUAGUGGAGCUCGUAAGCUCUCUCCGCCCCUCGGUGUGAUAGUCAUCUAUGCCGAUGCGUGAGGGAGGGAAGGCGCCGCUUCUAACGAACCAUGCCUUGCCCUGAUGCGAGAGCGUGGAUAUGGAAACCCUUUGAAUCUCAANUCAGGC